GAUGAACGCUGGCGGCGUGCUUAACACAUGCAAGUCGAACGGGAAACCUUUUAUUGAAGCUUCGGCAGAUUUAGCUGGUUUCUAGUGGCGGACGGGUGAGUAACGCGUGGGUAACCUGCCUUAUACAGGGGGAUAAUAACCAGAAAUGGUUGCUAAUACCGCAUAAGCGCACAGGACCGCAUGGUCCGGUGUGAAAAACUCCGGUGGUAUAAGAUGGACCCGCGUUGGAUUAGCUAGUUGGCAGGGUAACGGCCUACCAAGGCGACGAUCCAUAGCCGGCCUGAGAGGGUGAACGGCCACAUUGGGACUGAGACACGGCCCAGACUCCUACGGGAGGCAGCAGUGGGGAAUAUUGCACAAUGGGGGAAACCCUGAUGCAGCGACGCCGCGUGAAGGAAGAAGUAUCUCGGUAUGUAAACUUCUAUCAGCAGGGAAGAUAGUGACGGUACCUGACUAAGAAGCCCCGGCUAACUACGU
Molecule: ribosomal RNA, 477 nt
Filed under: uncultured bacterium
Lineage: Bacteria
Description: partial 16S ribosomal RNA
Rfam family: Bacterial small subunit ribosomal RNA
Source: RNAcentral